RNAcentral lists this ribosomal RNA (467 nucleotides) under uncultured bacterium. RNAcentral's name for it is "partial 16S ribosomal RNA". It matches the Rfam family "Bacterial small subunit ribosomal RNA", at positions 29 to 507 of the family's 1533-position model. The record is from RNAcentral.
ACGAACGCUGGCGGCGUGCUUAACACAUGCACGUCGAACGGAAAGGCCCUGCUUUUGUGGGGUGCUCGAGUGGCGAACGGGUGAGUAACACGUGAGUAACCUGCCCUUGACUUUGGGAUAACUUCAGGAAACUGGGGCUAAUACCGGAUAGGAGCUCCUGCUGCAUGGUGGGGGUUGGAAAGUUUCGGCGGUUGGGGAUGGACUCGCGGCUUAUCAGCUUGUUAGUGGGGUAGUGGCUUACCAAGGCUUUGACGGGUAGCCGGCCUGAGAGGGUGACCGGCCACAAUGGGACUGAGAGAGGGCCCAGACUCCUACGGGAGGCAGCAGUGGGGAAUAUUGCACAAUGGGCGGGAGCCUGAUGCAGCAACGCCGCGUGCGGGAUGACGGCCUUCGGGUUGUAAACCGCUUUCGCCUGUGACGAAGCGUGAGUGACGGUAAUGGGUAAAGAAGCACCGGCUAACUACGUG